RNAcentral lists this long non-coding RNA (1092 nucleotides) under Canis lupus familiaris (dog). RNAcentral's name for it is "lncRNA (ENSCAFG00000053574.1)". The record is from RNAcentral. Lineage: Eukaryota; Metazoa; Chordata; Mammalia; Carnivora; Canidae.
UUGAGAAAAUUAACAUAAUUGCACAUUUUCUUUGUCUUUUCUCUCUCUCUUUUCUAAGCAGGAACCAGGCUGUUAACCCUCCAGGAUCCAAGACCAUGGGUCAGCUACAUCACAGGAGCCCUAAGGGAGCAGUUAGGAAUCAGAAUGUGCUUUAUCCCAGCCGCUGAAUGCAAAGGGUUACACUCCACUGGAAGCUACAAGGGCUGCAGCCACCCUGGCCGUAGAGAGAGGUUUUCUUCGCCCUACCUGGUGUGGGAGCUUCACUCUAUCUUCUUACUGGGAGCAAGCUUUGUGCAAAACCAAAUUCUUCUAAGCGAAGUGAGUGGAAGGUGGAGCGAAAUUGCUUCCUCACAUUUACGUGGAACCGGCCUCCGAAGACGUGGUCUGCAGAGAACAGGCAGCGAGAGACUGGUCACCAGCGUCAGUGUUCGUGGGAAUUUUAAUAUCGUUUUUUAAAGACCUAGCAAUGGUUUGUUUGUUUUGGUGUGAUUCAGCCUUUCAUGUUACACCAAGUUACACCAAGCACUGAAUGCUGCACCUGCUGGUGAUUUUUUCCUGUGCUGCUGGGGAUUUUAUUUAUUUAUUAGAGAAAGAGAGAGAGAGAGAGGGAGACAGAGACACAGGCAGAGGGAGAAGCAGGCUCCACGCAGGGAGCCCGACGUGGGACUGGAUCCCGGGUCUCCAGGGUCACGCCCUGGGCUGAAGGCGGCGCUAAACCGCUGCGCCACCGGGGCUGCCCUGUGCUGCCGCCUUUAAGCGCGGUUACCUACUGGACCAAGGCCUGCGGUCAAAGAGGAGGAAAAACCCAUUUGCCCGCCCUCCUCAGUUCACUGGUGCAGAGAGCUGGGGUGCGCUCGACUACCGCCCGGGGAACCCAAACUGCAGAGGCCCGAGGCGGUUCAGAAAUGAAGGGUCUUUAAGCUGCGCAGGGAGCGACGUCUGCGAAGUGACAGCUGAUGGCCCCAGCACCCUACCCCCGGGGCAGCUCCCCACCAGCAGCCGCCUCUCCCCCCCCACCCCCUCCCCGGGGCAGCUCCCCACCAGCAGCCACCUCUCCCCCCCCCCCGGGGCAGCUCCCCAGCAGCAGCCGCC